RNAcentral lists this ribosomal RNA (253 nucleotides) under uncultured bacterium. RNAcentral describes it as "partial 16S ribosomal RNA". It matches the Rfam family "Bacterial small subunit ribosomal RNA", at positions 524 to 776 of the family's 1533-position model. The record is from RNAcentral.
UACAGGGGGGGCAAGCGUUGUUCGGAAUUACUGGGCGUAAAGGGCUCGUAGGCGGCCAACUAAGUCCGACGUGAAAUCCCUCGGCUUAACCGGGGAACUGCGUCUGAUACUGGAUGGCUUGAGUGUGGGAGAGGGAUGCGGAAUUCCAGGUGUAGCGGUGAAAUGCGUAGAUAUCUGGAGGAACACCGGUGGCGAAGGCGGCAUCCUGGACCAUUACUGACACUGAAAAGCGAAAGCCAGGGGAGCAAACGGG